UGGGAACACUCAGGUAUCGUAAGAYGCAAGAGUUCGAAUCUCUUCGCAACC
RNAcentral lists this transfer RNA (51 nucleotides) under Kluyveromyces lactis. Its description in RNAcentral is "partial transfer RNA". Lineage: Eukaryota; Fungi; Ascomycota; Saccharomycetes; Saccharomycetales; Saccharomycetaceae. The record is from RNAcentral.